UACGAAGGGGGCUAGCGUUGCUCGGAAUCACUGGGCGUAAAGCGCACGUAGGCGGACUCUUAAGUCAGGGGUGAAAUCCUGGAGCUCAACUCCAGAACUGCCUUUGAUACUGGCGAGCUUGAGUUCGGGAGAGGUGAGUGGAACUGCGAGUGUAGAGGUGAAAUUCGUAGAUAUUCGCAAGAACACCAGUGGCGAAGGCGGCUCACUGGCCCGAUACUGACGCUGAGGUGCGAAAGCGUGGGGAGCAAACAGG
This 253-nucleotide ribosomal RNA is filed under the name uncultured bacterium. RNAcentral's name for it is "partial 16S ribosomal RNA". It matches the Rfam family "Bacterial small subunit ribosomal RNA", at positions 524 to 776 of the family's 1533-position model. The record is from RNAcentral.